CCUACGGGGGGCAGCCGUGAGGAAUAUUGGUCAAUGGACGAGAGUCUGAACCAGCCAAGUAGCGUUAAGGAUGACUGCCCUAUGGGUUGUAAACUUCUUUUAUAUGGGAAUAAAAUGUUCCACGUGUGGGAUUUUGUAUGUACCAUAUGAAUAAGGAUCGGCUAACUCCGUGCCAGCAGCCGCGGUAAUACGGAGGAUCCGAGCGUUAUCCGGAUUUAUUGGGUUUAAGGGGAGCGUAGGUGGAUUGUUAAGUCAGUUGUGAAAGUUUGCGGCUCAACCGUAAAAGUGCAGUUGAAACUGGCAGUCUGGAGUACAGUAGAGGUGGGCGGAAUGCGUGGUGUAGCGGUGAAAUGCUUAGAUAUCACGAAGAACUCCGAUUGCGAAGGCAGCUCACUGGACUGCAACUGACACUGAGGCACGAAAGUGUGGGUAUCAAACAGGAUUAGAUACCCUGGUAGUC
RNAcentral lists this ribosomal RNA (460 nucleotides) under uncultured bacterium. RNAcentral's name for it is "partial 16S ribosomal RNA". It matches the Rfam family "Bacterial small subunit ribosomal RNA", at positions 338 to 795 of the family's 1533-position model. The record is from RNAcentral.